GGGCGUGCCAGUGCUGGAGGAUAAAUAGAGGCGCGCGCGCGGUGGGAGGGAGGGGCUUGGGUACUGGCCGUGCCCCUCGGCUCUGCUUGGCGGGAGGGUUAACGGGUGCGGCUGAGGCGCUGCGCUGGCUGGGGCUUCGCGCUGCGGGCCGAGAUACCCUUACCUGUCCCGCAAGUCCCGGGCGAGUCACGUUCAGCGACGGCUCCUCCCUUUUGACGGGGGAAAUAAGAGUCCGUCUAAAGCCAGGCUGCAAGAUGCUCAAAAUUUUUGGCAUUUGGACAGCUUCCUUAGCUAGCAAGGACAUAAAGUACCCAUAAGGCUUGUCACUGGAAUAUCACAGAAUCGCAGAAUGGUUGAAGUUGGAAGGGACCCCUGAAGAUCAUCUAGUCCAACCCACCUGCUCAAGCAGGGUCACCUGGUGCAUGUUGCCCAGUAGAAGAGACUUGUUACGGACAUUUGCAGUUUGGUCAGAAAGUCUGUUCAUUCCAUGAGCAAGCUCCUUUCAUGAAAAACAGUUUGUCUUCAACUCAUAUAUGCUUAAAUCUGGAUUUAUUAGCCAUAUCAUAAUAGAGUGAAAUGUGAGGUGAAAAUUGGUCUUUUUUUGUUGUUGGUUCAGUGUAUCAGUCCCAUUUUUUUGUUGCCUGCCAUCUUGAGCAAAGUAUAUAAUAUUUGUUAAGAAUUGGUUAAACAAAUAAUUGGAAACAAAAAGAAGGAGUAAGUAGUCAGUUUAUGAAGAGAGGUUACCAGCAGAGUUCCCUUAGAUUCUGUGCUCCAUGCUAUUUGGAAU
RNAcentral lists this long non-coding RNA (787 nucleotides) under Apteryx rowi (Okarito brown kiwi). RNAcentral describes it as "lncRNA (ENSARWG00000000955.1)". The record is from RNAcentral. Lineage: Eukaryota; Metazoa; Chordata; Aves; Apterygiformes; Apterygidae.